ACAACUCCAAGAAUAUAAAAUAAAAUAUAAAACCCAUGUCUCUUUGUUAGAACUGCAUCCAGCCCUAGAGAAGAGCUCAGCCUUCCAUGGAGUAGUGGACGGCGGCAGCAGCACAGCAGCGGCCUCCCAUUAGGACUUCCUUCCUCUCGCUUGUGUUUGGUUUUCUCUUCUCUGGCCUCUGCAAGCACUCCUCAGAUCCUUGGAUUAAUGUGGGAACUUGGCCUGUGAACCCGAGCUCGAUGGGAGAAGCCUCCCCCCGGUGGGGGAAGAAGGAAUGCCCCUCCUUCACGUCUGACUCCCUUUUUAUAAGCUGCCCCCACUCCCUCUCUACUCCCCUGUUUCAAAUCAAAGAUAAGGAUGCUGGGAAUUCGAGUGGAUGCUCACGGCUGAGAGAAUCUUUGGACGCAGAAGGAGAUAAGGAUGCUGAUUCUUGGAGUGGGGAGAGGAUGAACUCUAAGGAUGAACGCUGGGAAGAAGAUUCUGUUUCCGAAAG
Molecule: long non-coding RNA, 493 nt
Filed under: Phoenix dactylifera (date palm)
Lineage: Eukaryota; Viridiplantae; Streptophyta; Magnoliopsida; Arecales; Arecaceae
Description: long non-coding RNA (PDAC_LNC018449)
Source: RNAcentral